AAGUCGUAACAUAACCGGUAAAUCAUUGCCAAACAGUUUUGAUUCGGGACCUCUGUCCAUGGAAGCAGUGGCAUGGCUUCCCCAAGCAGUUAGUGAAUGACAGUGUCACUGACUGUGUAAGGAUAACGCCUCACGGUUGCUAGAGGUCGAUCACCGACCGGCAGACAUGUCACAGGGUCACCACGCCCCUUAAUCACUCCACUUGAAAUGCCCCGCCUAGUAACGCGCUAGGUAAAAAAACCGAACAACUGUUAACAAUACGAUGAAGAACGCAGC
Molecule: unclassified non-coding RNA, 276 nt
Filed under: fungal sp.
Lineage: Eukaryota; Fungi
Description: partial internal transcribed spacer region
Source: RNAcentral